Molecule: non-coding RNA, 1293 nt
Organism: Malus domestica (apple)
Lineage: Eukaryota; Viridiplantae; Streptophyta; Magnoliopsida; Rosales; Rosaceae
Source: RefSeq, a predicted model, not a curated record
CCUUUUAAUUCUGGUACUCAAUCAUUCCUCUUCAGUUUCAGUGUUUCAGUCACUGGCGCUUUGUUCUGAUAAUUUGGCAACUUUCCUCAGAAAAAUAUGAAGAUCUUCAACUGGGUUCAUAAGCGGCUUCAUCAGAAGGUUGAGUUUGCUGGAAAUGUGAAAAAAACUGAACUGGAAGUGGAAACCAAUCACAAGGGCACACAAGCAUUUCUCAAGCAAGUCGGACUUGUUAAUGUUGAUGGGCUUGACGGUUGGAGGGAGGGCAUUUUAACGAUAGGUACCUUGGGUUUCGAUCCCGUAAAACCCUUCAACCCUCAGAACGAAUAUUUCGUUUUGGAGAGCGCAGAGCACGAUCAGGAAAACAAUGGAUUUUCACACUGUGGUAAUGACUACGACGAAGAUGAUGAACAUUAUGAUGAUAAUUUUGGAGAUGAAGAACUGAAUCCUUUAAUGUUUAAAACAUUUGGACACAGUUUGAGGACGUUGGGUCAAACUCUGAUGCCACUGAGAAACUAGUUGAUGAUGAUCACGCGAUCUUGACCGUUGAUGGUGUUCCUCUUACACCAUACGAAGGGUCCAACAAUGAAAUCAGUAUUGCACCUCCUGAUCUGUACCGUUCCGAGAUCACUGAUGAUGAUCAAAGGAAGAAGAGAGGCCAAAGAAUAACCCUAGCUGACCUAUUCCAGGCUGAUCAUGUUCAUGAUGUUGGUCAACUGAAGCUUGACUCCUGCAAAGUCCAGCCAAAAAUGCAGAAAAAGGUGAACGUGAGAACAAAGACCGGCCUAUCAUUUGCCAAGAAGCUCAUUCUUCGCGUCAAAGAGGAUUCAAGUCCAAUAAAAAAUCUGCAACGACUGAUGAGGAGGAUGUUGAAGAGGAAGAUCCAUCCAGCUGAGCAUGAUGUCAAGGUUGACAAAUCAGAUGGCCAGAAGCAGCCCGGUGCAGUAGAACUCGUCACCAAGGUUAAAAGUGAUGCCUCUGAAUCAGUUUCUUUGCUUCAAAUUCAAGGUGCUACUGCUUGUGUCCAUUGAAAUAUGGCCUGAAACUUCAUUGCCUGGAAAUGAUUUGUACUUUGGUGAUUGCUAUAAUCACUAUAUGAAGGACAAUGUUAAUUAAUUAGCUUUUUAAGUAUGUGCAACUGCUGAACUAUUCUAUUCCUGUUUAAUUUGUAAUUUUUCUUAAUUGUUUUGGCUUUAGUAAUGAUGGGAGUUAUAUUUUUGUCACAUAGCUUAUAGGCUAUGAUUUGUGUGUCGACUUUUUGAUGCAUUAUCUAUUAACUUUAGCAAAAUGAUCCAA